This 1190-nucleotide long non-coding RNA is filed under the name Carassius auratus (goldfish). Its description in RNAcentral is "lncRNA (ENSCARG00000023147.1)". The record is from RNAcentral. Lineage: Eukaryota; Metazoa; Chordata; Actinopteri; Cypriniformes; Cyprinidae.
GGUACUUUUUGGUUGGAUUCGUUUGUGUGGUGUAACAUGUUAUUGUUGGCAAGAAAAGAGAUUGUUGGUUAUUGUAACAAUUUUUUGCCCUCUAUUUUGCAUUUUAGGUGAAUGUGACUGUCAAAGUGCUCCAGUUGGCUGAAGAUACUCAAUCUAUGACCCGUAGCAAUCAAAGAUUGCAAAGAAGGUCUUACAAUGUGGCAGAUCAAACAUGUGGUUUGUCAUUGACUGUCUGGGGAGGAGAUAUGCUACAAAUAGGGAUGUGGUAUACAAUGAAGAGUACAUCUGUUCGACUGUUUGACGGUUGCACAUGUUUGUCUACUACUAAAGAGUCUUCUAUAAUACUUGUGCCUGAUGUAUCAAGCAAUGUUGCGCCAGUAAUUGACAGUUGUAAAGUCAAAGAGGGAGAAUGUGUGACAGCAGAGGUCAAAGAAGAGUACCAAUGUCCGAAGCUGCAUCCUUUGCCUGCGGUCAAUUUCCAAACACUGAUGACAAGAUGUCCACAAUGUGCAGCAUACUGCAAAACAACAAGAGUAAUGUCUAUUGUUCGUGCAACUGUCACUAUACAGGACAAGAGUAAUAAACUGAGUACUUUUGUAAUCCAAGAUGCUGUGCUUUGUGAGUUGCUGGAUGUGCAAAUGAGCAGUCGGGUGGAACCAGAUGAGUUUGCAGCGAAGUUGCUCAUUGAUGACCAUGGCCAUUUGCACAUAAAAUACAGAGGACAACGUGUUGUUUUUGCAUCAUUCAUGUUUGAUUCUGAGUCAGCAAAUCAGUCUGCUGAAGCACAAGGGAGAGACAUCGUGGCUGAUAGAUCAAGAAAAGAACAAUGUACGGAGUCAAUGUCCGAAGAUUUGACGCUUGAAGAAUUGUUUGAGCUUGAAACUCCUGAAUGUUCACAGAGCCAGCGGUAUGAGCAGAAGGGUAAAGGAGGUGAUUUUGAGUCAGCAAAACAGUGUUUAGAGACAGAAGGGAAAGCUGUGGUAAGUAGUGCAAGCAUGCAACAAUUUACAGAAUCAAUGUCUGAAAAUGUGAUGCUUGAACAAUUGUUUGAUUAGAAUAAAUACAAUGUUUAUAGUUUAUACAACUUUAUUCAGUGCACAGCUAAGUUUAAACAAAGUACUAUCACUGUCGGCUUUAUAUACGAGUGCACUUUACAAAAAGUCCAAAGAAACUGCAGGACAUAAGAAAAG